RNAcentral lists this ribosomal RNA (253 nucleotides) under uncultured bacterium. RNAcentral describes it as "partial 16S ribosomal RNA". It matches the Rfam family "Bacterial small subunit ribosomal RNA", at positions 524 to 776 of the family's 1533-position model. The record is from RNAcentral.
GACGAACCGUGCGAACGUUGUUCGGAAUCACUGGGCUUAAAGGGCGCGUAGGCGGCCUGCCAAGUCAGGGGUGAAAGCCCCCAGCUCAACUGGGGAAGUGCCUUUGAUACUGGCGGGCUCGAGCGAGGUAGGGGUCGUGGGAACUUCCGGUGGAGCGGUAAAAUGCGUUGAUAUCGGAAGGAACGCCGGUGGCGAAAGCGCACGACUGGACCUCUCCUGACGCUGAGGCGCGAAAGCCAGGGGAGCAAACGGG